UGAGGAAUUUUGCGCAAUGCGAGCCAUCCUGACGCAGCAACGCCGCGUGGGUGAUGAAGGCCUUCGGGUCGUAAAGCCCUGUCAGGUGGGAAGAAUGUCCCGGGACUGAACAGGUUCCGGGAGUGACGGUACCACCAGAGGAAGCACCGGCUAACUCCGUGCCAGCAGCCGCGGUAAUACGGAGGGUGCAAGCGUUAUGCGGAAUUACUGGGCGUAAAGCGCGUGUAGGCGGUCCCGCAAGUCUGGUGUGAAAGCCCCGGGCGUAACCCGGGAAGUGCAUUGGAAACGGUGGGACGUGAGUACUGGAGAGGAUGGUGGAAUUCCCGGUGUAGAGGUGAAAUUCGUAGAGAUCGGGAGGAAUAUCAGUGGCGAAGGCGCCCAUCUGGACGGUAACUGACGCUGAGACGCGAAAGCGUGGGGAGCAAACA
RNAcentral lists this ribosomal RNA (428 nucleotides) under uncultured prokaryote. Its description in RNAcentral is "bacterial SSU rRNA". It matches the Rfam family "Bacterial small subunit ribosomal RNA", at positions 355 to 774 of the family's 1533-position model. The record is from RNAcentral.